ACCCCCUCUCAGAGUCACACGUGGAGAGUUUCCAGUACUCUACCGGUCUCGAAUACUGGAGGGAGAGUGAAGCAGAGGCAGAUCCAUUCCAUUACUAGCUUGGGGCAGUGGCUAGUGAGUGGAAGACAAUCUGCUACAAAU
This 141-nucleotide small nucleolar RNA is filed under the name Ornithorhynchus anatinus (platypus). The record is from RNAcentral. Lineage: Eukaryota; Metazoa; Chordata; Mammalia; Monotremata; Ornithorhynchidae.